UUAAAAACUAAGAAAAGGAAUAGUAACUACUUGAUAAAUGUCAGAGACCUGUUGGCUGGUGUGAAACAGGAUUUAGAAAAUAGUGAACUCGCCUUGGAGUUGCUGACUGAAUAAAGUAGGUCUAGACGGAGGCCCACCGUUAAAAGGGAUAGAUAUCGGUAGAAACCUGUAUCAAUGAAACACCUAAGAGUGGUAUAGCAGAUUACACUUCUGUCUCUUUUGAGAUAGGAGUUUUUUAUUUUUCUACCUGUAUUAAAAAAGUGCACAUUUUAAUGUGAAAAAGAGUGGUACCGCGGAAAGCCUCCUUUCGUCUCUUAC
Molecule: non-coding RNA, 318 nt
Filed under: Cellulosilyticum lentocellum
Lineage: Bacteria; Bacillati; Bacillota; Clostridia; Lachnospirales; Cellulosilyticaceae
Description: Clostridium lentocellum T-box sequence
Rfam family: T-box leader
About the family: Uncharged tRNA acts as the effector for transcription antitermination of genes in the T-box leader family. T-boxes are found upstream of many aminoacyl-tRNA synthetase genes and some amino acid biosynthetic genes usually in Gram-positive bacteria.
Source: RNAcentral